Podarcis lilfordi (Lilford's wall lizard) is the source of this 77-nucleotide non-coding RNA. The record is from the annotation of a GenBank genome assembly. NCBI's taxonomy places the organism in Eukaryota, Metazoa, Chordata, Lepidosauria, Squamata, Lacertidae.
GGAGGGCUGUGGCACAGUGGUAGAGAGCGUCUGCCUUGCAUGCAGAAGGUCUUGGGGUUCAAUCCCCGGUAUUUCCU